RNAcentral lists this unclassified non-coding RNA (381 nucleotides) under soil metagenome. RNAcentral describes it as "partial contains 5.8S ribosomal RNA, internal transcribed spacer 2, and large subunit ribosomal RNA". The stretch from base 1 to 120 matches the Rfam family "5.8S ribosomal RNA", at positions 35 to 154 of the family's 154-position model. The record is from RNAcentral.
GAUGAAGAACGCAGCGAAAUGCGAUAAGUAAUGUGAAUUGCAGAAUUCAGUGAAUCAUCGAAUCUUUGAACGCACCUUGCGCUCCUUGGUAUUCCGAGGAGCAUGCCUGUUUGAGUGUCAUUAAUAUAUCAACCUCUUCAGCUUAUGCUUGUUGAGUGUUGGAUGGUGGGGGUUUGCUGGUGUCUUAUGAAGUCAGCUCCUCUGAAAUGCAUUAGCGGAACAAUUUGUUGACCGUUCAUUGGUGUGAUAAAAAUAUCUACGCUAUUGACGUCAGUCAGUUCAGCUUCUAACAGUCCAUUGACUUGGACAAAUUUUUCAUUAAUGUGACCUCAAAGCAGGUAGGACUACCCGCUGAACUUAAGCAUAUCAAUAAGCGGAGGA